AAUUAUAAUUAUUAAUUUUUAAUUAGAAGUGAAAUAUUAAUCAAUUUUAAAUAUAUCUAGUUUUUUUAAAAUUGAAUUAAAUUCAGCUUUAAAAUUUUAUAUAAAUUAAUUUAAUUUUAUUAUAUAAAAAAUUUAUUUUAAAGUAAAUGUAAUCGGGAUAAAUUGAUUAUAUUAAUUUAUAAAUUAAUUUUAUUUGAUAAAUAAUAUAAAUAAUAUUAAAAUUAUAUAUUUUUAAAAAUAAUGUUUUAAUUUAUAUUUUAAAUUUAAAAAAAAAUUAAAAAAUUUUUGAUUUUAAUAAUUUAUAAAAAUUUAUUAUUUAAUAUUUAUUUAUUAAAAAUAAUGAUUAUAUUAGUAAAAUUAUUAUUGUUGUUUAAUUAUUUAUUAAAUGAAUAAAUAAAUUUAAGGAAUUAGGCAAAAAUUUUAAUAUUUAUAAAAUUUAUAUUUACCUGUUUAUCAAAAACAUGGCUUAUUGAUUUAAAUAAUAAGUUUGUUCUGCCCAUUGAAUUUAUAAUUUAAAAGGCUGCAGUAUAAUGACUGUACAAAGGUAGCAAAAUCAAUAGUUUUUUAAUUGAAAACUGGAAUGAAUGAAUUAAUAAAAUAUAAACUGUCUCAAAUUUAAUAUAUUAUUGAAUUUAAAAUAAAAGUUAAAAUGCUUUUAUAAAUUUAUUAGACGAUAAGACCCUAAGAAUUUAAUUUAUUUAAUUUAAUAAGAAAUUUUAUAAUUAUAUUAUAUAUAUAUAUAUAUUAAUAAAUUAAAUAAAUUUUAUUGGGAGGGUAAUUAAAUUUUUAAACUUUAAUUAUUAAAUUA
Molecule: ribosomal RNA, 808 nt
Filed under: Polistes humilis (Australian paper wasp)
Lineage: Eukaryota; Metazoa; Arthropoda; Insecta; Hymenoptera; Vespidae
Description: partial 16S rRNA
Source: RNAcentral